This 231-nucleotide ribosomal RNA is filed under the name uncultured eukaryote. RNAcentral describes it as "partial 18S ribosomal RNA". It matches the Rfam family "Eukaryotic small subunit ribosomal RNA", at positions 1208 to 1456 of the family's 1831-position model. The record is from RNAcentral.
GGGAAACUCACCAGGUCCGGACAUAGUAAGGAUUGACAGAUUGAAAGCUCUUUCUUGAUUCUAUGGGUGGUGGUGCAUGGCCGUUCUUAGUUGGUGGAGUGAUUUGUCUGGUUGAUUCCGUUAACGAACGAGAUCUCCGCCUACUAAAUAGUCACGCGAAUCCGUUUGGAUUGGCGGGCGACUUCUUAGAGGGACACUUGGCGUUUAGUCAAGGGAAGUUGGAGGCAAUAA